This 2771-nucleotide ribosomal RNA is filed under the name Escherichia coli. Its description in RNAcentral is "partial 23S ribosomal RNA". It matches the Rfam family "Bacterial large subunit ribosomal RNA". RNAcentral also lists the same sequence under 4 other names. Lineage: Bacteria; Pseudomonadati; Pseudomonadota; Gammaproteobacteria; Enterobacterales; Enterobacteriaceae. The record is from RNAcentral.
GGUUAAGCGACUAAGCGUACACGGUGGAUGCCCUGGCAGUCAGAGGCGAUGAAGGACGUGCUAAUCUGCGAUAAGCGUCGGUAAGGUGAUAUGAACCGUUAUAACCGGCGAUUUCCGAAUGGGGAAACCCAGUGUGAUUCGUCACACUAUCAUUAACUGAAUCCAUAGGUUAAUGAGGCGAACCGGGGGAACUGAAACAUCUAAGUACCCCGAGGAAAAGAAAUCAACCGAGAUUCCCCCAGUAGCGGCGAGCGAACGGGGAGCAGCCCAGAGCCUGAAUCAGUGUGUGUGUUAGUGGAAGCGUCUGGAAAGGCGUGCGAUACAGGGUGACAGCCCCGUACACAAAAAUGCACAUACUGUGAGCUCGAUGAGUAGGGCGGGACACGUGGUAUCCUGUCUGAAUAUGGGGGGACCAUCCUCCAAGGCUAAAUACUCCUGACUGACCGAUAGUGAACCAGUACCGUGAGGGAAAGGCGAAAAGAACCCCGGCGAGGGGAGUGAAAAAGAACCUGAAACCGUGUACGUACAAGCAGUGGGAGCACGCUUAGGCGUGUGACUGCGUACCUUUUGUAUAAUGGGUCAGCGACUUAUAUUCUGUAGCAAGGUUAACCGAAUAGGGGAGCCGAAGGGAAACCGAGUCUUAACUGGGCGUUAAGUUGCAGGGUAUAGACCCGAAACCCGGUGAUCUAGCCAUGGGCAGGUUGAAGGUUGGGUAACACUAACUGGAGGACCGAACCGACUAAUGUUGAAAAAUUAGCGGAUGACUUGUGGCUGGGGGUGAAAGGCCAAUCAAACCGGGAGAUAGCUGGUUCUCCCCGAAAGCUAUUUAGGUAGCGCCUCGUGAAUUCAUCUCCGGGGGUAGAGCACUGUUUCGGCAAGGGGGUCAUCCCGACUUACCAACCCGAUGCAAACUGCGAAUACCGGAGAAUGUUAUCACGGGAGACACACGGCGGGUGCUAACGUCCGUCGUGAAGAGGGAAACAACCCAGACCGCCAGCUAAGGUCCCAAAGUCAUGGUUAAGUGGGAAACGAUGUGGGAAGGCCCAGACAGCCAGGAUGUUGGCUUAGAAGCAGCCAUCAUUUAAAGAAAGCGUAAUAGCUCACUGGUCGAGUCGGCCUGCGCGGAAGAUGUAACGGGGCUAAACCAUGCACCGAAGCUGCGGCAGCGACGCUUAUGCGUUGUUGGGUAGGGGAGCGUUCUGUAAGCCUGUGAAGGUGUGCUGUGAGGUAUGCUGGAGGUAUCAGAAGUGCGAAUGCUGACAUAAGUAACGAUAAAGCGGGUGAAAAGCCCGCUCGCCGGAAGACCAAGGGUUCCUGUCCAACGUUAAUCGGGGCAGGGUGAGUCGACCCCUAAGGCGAGGCCGAAAGGCGUAGUCGAUGGGAAACAGGUUAAUAUUCCUGUACUUGGUGUUACUGCGAAGGGGGGACGGAGAAGGCUAUGUUGGCCGGGCGACGGUUGUCCCGGUUUAAGCGUGUAGGCUGGUUUUCCAGGCAAAUCCGGAAAAUCAAGGCCGAGGCGUGAUGACGAGGCACUACGGUGCUGAAGCAACAAAUGCCCUGCUUCCAGGAAAAGCCUCUAAGCAUCAGGUAACAUCAAAUCGUACCCCAAACCGACACAGGUGGUCAGGUAGAGAAUACCAAGGCGCUUGAGAGAACUCGGGUGAAGGAACUAGGCAAAAUGGUGCCGUAACUUCGGGAGAAGGCACGCUGAUACGUAGGUGAAGCGACUUGCUCGUGGAGCUGAAAUCAGUCGAAGAUACCAGCUGGCUGCAACUGUUUAUUAAAAACACAGCACUGUGCAAACACGAAAGUGGACGUAUACGGUGUGACGCCUGCCCGGUGCCGGAAGGUUAAUUGAUGGGGUUAGCGCAAGCGAAGCUCUUGAUCGAAGCCCCGGUAAACGGCGGCCGUAACUAUAACGGUCCUAAGGUAGCGAAAUUCCUUGUCGGGUAAGUUCCGACCUGCACGAAUGGCGUAAUGAUGGCCAGGCUGUCUCCACCCGAGACUCAGUGAAAUUGAACUCGCUGUGAAGAUGCAGUGUACCCGCGGCAAGACGGAAAGACCCCGUGAACCUUUACUAUAGCUUGACACUGAACAUUGAGCCUUGAUGUGUAGGAUAGGUGGGAGGCUUUGAAGUGUGGACGCCAGUCUGCAUGGAGCCGACCUUGAAAUACCACCCUUUAAUGUUUGAUGUUCUAACGUGGACCCGUGAUCCGGGUUGCGGACAGUGUCUGGUGGGUAGUUUGACUGGGGCGGUCUCCUCCUAAAGAGUAACGGAGGAGCACGAAGGUUGGCUAAUCCUGGUCGGACAUCAGGAGGUUAGUGCAAUGGCAUAAGCCAGCUUGACUGCGAGCGUGACGGCGCGAGCAGGUGCGAAAGCAGGUCAUAGUGAUCCGGUGGUUCUGAAUGGAAGGGCCAUCGCUCAACGGAUAAAAGGUACUCCGGGGAUAACAGGCUGAUACCGCCCAAGAGUUCAUAUCGACGGCGGUGUUUGGCACCUCGAUGUCGGCUCAUCACAUCCUGGGGCUGAAGUAGGUCCCAAGGGUAUGGCUGUUCGCCAUUUAAAGUGGUACGCGAGCUGGGUUUAGAACGUCGUGAGACAGUUCGGUCCCUAUCUGCCGUGGGCGCUGGAGAACUGAGGGGGGCUGCUCCUAGUACGAGAGGACCGGAGUGGACGCAUCACUGGUGUUCGGGUUGUCAUGCCAAUGGCACUGCCCGGUAGCUAAAUGCGGAAGAGAUAAGUGCUGAAAGCAUCUAAGCACGAAACUUGC